Molecule: ribosomal RNA, 253 nt
Filed under: uncultured bacterium
Lineage: Bacteria
Description: partial 16S ribosomal RNA
Rfam family: Bacterial small subunit ribosomal RNA
Source: RNAcentral
UACAGAGGGUGCAAGCGUUAAUCGGAUUUACUGGGCGUAAAGCGCGCGUAGGUGGCCAAUUAAGUCAAAUGUGAAAUCCCCGAGCUUAACUUGGGAAUUGCAUUCGAUACUGGUUGGCUAGAGUAUGGGAGAGGAUGGUAGAAUUCCAGGUGUAGCGGUGAAAUGCGUAGAGAUCUGGAGGAAUACCGAUGGCGAAGGCAGCCAUCUGGCCUAAUACUGACGCUGAGGUACGAAAGCAUGGGGAGCAAACAGG